RNAcentral lists this long non-coding RNA (1513 nucleotides) under Homo sapiens (human). RNAcentral's name for it is "long intergenic non-protein coding RNA 2052". Lineage: Eukaryota; Metazoa; Chordata; Mammalia; Primates; Hominidae. The record is from RNAcentral.
GCCCACCGCCUCAGCAACCAACCUCCAGGGAGGGGAAAGGGGGCAGAAGUUUGAGUUAAUAACUAAUAGCUAAAGAUGUAAACAAUAAGCCUCCAUAAAACCCCAAAAGGACUGGACUGGUUUCUGAGAGCUUCCAGGUUGUUGAGCACGUGGAGGUUCUGGGAGGGUCCACACCCAGAGAAGGCAUGGAAGCUGACCCCUUCCCCAUACCUUGCUCUUUGCAUCUCUUCCAUUUGGCUGUUCCCGAGUUGUAUACUUUGUAAUAAGUGGGAUUUCCACCCAACAACAAUUCAGCCACACUGCUUCACACAUCUAGAAUCCAUCCAAAAUUGUAAAGGCUUUGUGGCACUACAGUGAAACAGGCAAGAACAUCUUCCAAACAUCCAGCACAAGAGCACACAGGAGGCCGGCAUAAUCACGAAUUGCAGCUGUCUGAAGGGCAGUCACAUAAAAGAGGAGAAGCUUCACCUUUGCUUCACAAGGCACAUCUUGAACCAGGGAUGGAAAUUACAGAGAGGCCAAAACCAGCUCGGUGUGAGCAGGACUGGUAACAGACUGGCCAAGCAACAGAAGGGGCUGCCCUGUGAAGAAGCAAGCUCUCUGUCAAUGGGAGGUGCAAGCUGAGCCUGCACUACCUUUUGUCACGGUUGCUAUGGAAAAGAUUAAGAGCCCGGGCUGCUUGAGUGUCUGCAUGACAUGGCAGCUGGCUCCCUGAAGAGCACGUGAUCCGAAAGAGAGAGCAAGACAGAAGCGCAGUGUCUUCAACAGCAUAUCUUUGAAAGUCAUAUUCCACCGUUUUCACUACAUUCUAUUGAUAAGGCCUGGCUGUUCCCACCUCAAACCACUUCUUAGCUUCAUUUGUUCUCAUAACAACAGGAUAGCCCUUCCUCCUCUGGGGGCCUGGGCAUCAGCAAGUCGGAUGGCAGUGGAAGGUGGAGAAAUGGAAUCCUGCUGGGGGCUCAGGAGGCCUGCCCCCUGAUGCUGCCGUGCACUGCAGAUGUCCUUGAUGAAGAGAAUGAAUGGAAGCUGUCUUUCUCAAUGGCAAAAGGGCAUACUGCUGUUAUUGUCAGUGAGGGGUCAGUAGUUUAAAUGAUGAAACUCUGGGGAUCAGCGUAAAGUAAACCAACAUACUGCAUGUAAAUUCCUCAUUCUUACUGCUGUGAGAACAAUUGUUAGGAGCCAAAAACUUCAGAGCUUUCAAAGAACUGUAAUGAGAUAGCACAAUGCAGGCAAAAAGCCAGUGUUAACGGAGCAAGAAACUUCCCAGUUCUGACAUUCACAGCAUGACCUAGAGCAUGCGGAUUCCCCUCUCUGAGUCACUGGUUUCUCACCUGCAAAAGAAAGCGGGGACAGGGAAGGAGGAAGAAGCUUCGAGAGGCUGGAACAGUUGAGGGAGCGCUGACACGGUAAAGGCCACUUUGCUCAUCAUCACCAGGCGUGCUGCCGAAAAUUUCCACUCUGUUUACUCCCAAGACCUUACUCCUACUAUGUGGAGACACAUUUGAAUAAAAAA